AGUGAACGCUGGCGGUAGGCCUAACACAUGCAAGUCGAACGGCAGCACAGUAAGAGCUUGCUCUUACGGGUGGCGAGUGGCGGACGGGUGAGGAAUACAUCGGAUUCUUCUUUUUCGUGGGUGAUAACGUAGGGAAACUUCCGCUAAUACCGCAUACGACCUACGGGUGAAAGCAGGGGUUCUUCGGACCUUUCGCGAUUGUAUGAGCCGAUGUCGGAUUAGCUAGUUGGCGGGGUAAAGGCCCACCAAGGCGACGAUCCGUAGCUGGUCUGAGAGGAUGAUCAGCCACACUGGAACUGAGACACGGUCCAGACUCCUACGGGAGGCAGCAGUGGGGAAUAUUAGGCAAUGGGCGCAAGCCUGAUCCAGCAAUACCGCGUGGGUGAAGAAGGCCUUCGGGUUGUAAAGCCCUUUUGUUGGGAAAGAAAAGCAGCAGGUUAAUACCCCGCUGUUCUGACGGUACCCAAAGAAUAAGCACCGGCUAACUUCGUG
Molecule: ribosomal RNA, 492 nt
Filed under: uncultured bacterium
Lineage: Bacteria
Description: partial 16S ribosomal RNA
Rfam family: Bacterial small subunit ribosomal RNA
Source: RNAcentral